AGAGUUUGAUCCUGGCUCAGAUUGAACGCUGGCGGCAUGCUUUACACAUGCAAGUCGAACGGCAGCAUAGGUGCUUGCACCUGAUGGCGAGUGGCGGACGGGUGAGUAAUGCAUCGGGACGUGUCCGGAAGAGGGGGAUAACUGUUCGAAAGAACAGCUAAUACCGCAUAAUAUCCGAGGAAGAAAGCUGGGGACCUUAGGGCCUGGCGCUUACGGGGCGACCGAUGUCUGAUUAGCUAGUUGGUGGGGUAAAAGCCUACCAAGGCGACGAUCAGUAGCUGGUCUGAGAGGACGACCAGCCACACUGGGACUGAGAAACGGCCCAGACUCCUACGGGAGGCAGCAGUGGGGAAUUUUGGACAAUGGGGGCAACCCUGAUCCAGCAAUGCCGCGUGUCUGAAGAAGGCCUUCGGGUUGUAAAGGACUUUUGUUGGGGAGCAAGGUGCACAGGUUAAGAGCUAGUGUACUUGAGAGUACCCAAAGAAUAAGGACCGGCUAACUACGUGCCAGCAGCCGCGGUAAUACGUAGGGUCCAAGCGUUAAUCGGAAUUACUGGGCGUAAAGAGUGCGCAGGCGGCUUUGUAAGCUUGAUGUGAAAUCCCCGGGCUCAACCUGGGAACUGCAUUGAGGACUGCAAGGCUAGAGUGUAGCAGAGGGGGGUAGAAUUCCACGUGUAGCAGUGAAAUGCGUAGAGAUGUGGAGGAAUACCGAUGGCGAAGGCAGCCCCCUGGGUUAACACUGACGCUCAUGCACGAAAGCGUGGGGAGCAAACAGGAUUAGAUACCCUGGUAGUCC
Molecule: ribosomal RNA, 795 nt
Filed under: uncultured bacterium
Lineage: Bacteria
Description: bacterial SSU rRNA
Rfam family: Bacterial small subunit ribosomal RNA
Source: RNAcentral